GCGCAGGGGCGAGCCGUGCAGCGGGUGCUGCGUGGCCUGGGCAGGGUGUGCGAGCAGCGGCGGGGGCGGCUGGAGCGGGACUAGUCGGGUUUCUUAUGAAAUUUCCCCGAAUUUUGUGUGUCACAGGAUUUCCUGCCUGGCUCAGCCCCAGAGAGGCCCCAGCCCUGAAUGGUGACGGCGGGCGGUUACGGGGGCCCUCGGCGCUUCCCUUUGCGAGGAGGGCCCUGGAUCAAGACCUCUUUGUGACGGCCUUGGGCACACACUGAGCAGCUCUGACGCCUGUGCCCAGCUUUCCUGCAGCAUGCUUGCUGCAACUGAACGUUCCUUUUCGGGUGGUGGGACCAGGAGAUCGUUCUACGGGAUGUACAAAAGCUGUGAAGACGAGACCUGCUGGACAGUAAGAAGCCAGAACCGCUUCACUUUUAUUCACUCUCUGGGAUACAAGCAAAAGAAACCAGAGCAAGUCCCUGCCUGCUGAAAUUCCAGGGGCUCACACUGAAUUACAGCAAGGCCUGGAGGCAUUUUGAAUCUUUUCUUGUAUACAUCAGCUCCACGCUGCUCCCGGGCAAUUGCACUUUAAGUUAGUUAAUA
Grus americana (Whooping crane) is the source of this 591-nucleotide long non-coding RNA. RefSeq lists it as uncharacterized. The transcript has 3 exons. NCBI's taxonomy places the organism in Eukaryota, Metazoa, Chordata, Aves, Gruiformes, Gruidae. The record is from RefSeq and is a predicted model, not a curated record.